RNAcentral lists this ribosomal RNA (253 nucleotides) under uncultured bacterium. RNAcentral describes it as "partial 16S ribosomal RNA". It matches the Rfam family "Bacterial small subunit ribosomal RNA", at positions 524 to 776 of the family's 1533-position model. The record is from RNAcentral.
GACAGAGGGUGCGAACGUUGUUCGGAAUUACUGGGCGUAAAGCGCACGUAGGCGGCUUUGCAAGUCCCAUGUGAAAUCCCACGGCUCAACCGUGGAAGUGCAUGGGAAACUGCAGAGCUUGAGUACUUAAGAGGAUCGCGGAAUUCCCGGUGUAGAGGUGAAAUUCGUAGAUAUCGGGAGGAACACCAGUGGCGAAGGCGGCGAUCUGGGAAGAUACUGACGCUGAGGUGCGAAAGCGUGGGGAGCAAACAGG